This 434-nucleotide ribosomal RNA is filed under the name uncultured Coprococcus sp. Its description in RNAcentral is "partial 16S ribosomal RNA". It matches the Rfam family "Bacterial small subunit ribosomal RNA", at positions 341 to 792 of the family's 1533-position model. The record is from RNAcentral. Lineage: Bacteria; Bacillati; Bacillota; Clostridia; Lachnospirales; Lachnospiraceae.
ACGGAAGGCAGCAGUGGGGAAUAUUGCACAAUGGGGGAAACCCUGAUGUAGCGACGCCGCGUGAGUGAAGAAGUAUUUCGGUAUGUAAAGCUCUAUCAGCAGGGAAGAAAAUGACGGUACCUGACUAAGAAGCCCCGGCUAACUACGUGCCAGCAGCCGCGGUAAUACGUAGGGGGCAAGCGUUAUCCGGAAUUACUGGGUGUAAAGGGUGCGCAGGUGGUAAGGCAAGUCAGGAGUGAAAUGCCGGGGCUCAACCCCGGAACUGCUCUUGAAACUGUUUAACUGGAGUGCAGGAGAGGUAAGCGGAAUUCCUAGUGUAGCGGUGAAAUGCGUAGAUAUUAGGAGGAACACCAGUGGCGAAGGCGGCUUACUGGACUGUAACUGACACUGAGGCACGAAAGCGUGGGGAGCAAACAGGAUUAGAUACCCUGGUA